This 72-nucleotide transfer RNA is filed under the name Anaerolineales bacterium. RNAcentral's name for it is "tRNA-His". It matches the Rfam family "tRNA". From Rfam's summary of the family: Transfer RNA (tRNA) molecules are approximately 80 nucleotides in length. Their secondary structure includes four short double-helical elements and three loops (D, anti-codon, and T loops). Lineage: Bacteria; Bacillati; Chloroflexota; Anaerolineae; Anaerolineales. The record is from RNAcentral.
GUGGAUGUAGCUCAAUGGUGGAGCACCUGACUGUGGAUCAGGAGGCUGCGGGUUCAAGCCCCGUCAUCCACC